Non-coding RNA from Podarcis lilfordi (Lilford's wall lizard), 1618 nucleotides. Lineage: Eukaryota; Metazoa; Chordata; Lepidosauria; Squamata; Lacertidae. The record is from the annotation of a GenBank genome assembly.
CCCAGGGCCGCCAGGCCUGGCGGGGGAAGGGAAGGGCCGCGUGUGGCGUUGCCUCCCCCCGCGGCCCACACUCUCCCGCAGGCAUGGGGGGCAGCCAGAGGGGCCCCCGUGCCAUCACCCAAAACCCUGGGGCAUCAGGGCCCGCCUAGGGAAAAGGAUCCCCUUUUAAAAGGGGAUCCUGAAAUCCAUUACCCCCCCUGCUAUCCUUUGGGAACCCUGUCGUGGGGGGGGAGGCCAAAGGCCCCAGGCUUACCUUUUGGAGCGAGGAAGUCCAGCAACGUCCUUCCUGAAGAAGCUCUGGAGCCAAGUGAGGAUUCCCAGGUAAGAUCCUCCCUCUAUUGUGUGGGCAGGUAAUCCCUCCCCUACCUGGCCUGGUCUCCUUGGCAACGCUUCCCCCAGGUGGGAUUGGACAACUGACUGAGGUAGGCGGAGACCUCCAGUUAUCCCACCUGAGGGAAGGCAAACCAAGCCUAUGCUGUUGGAGCCGCUCCAAAUCUAGGGGCUGUGCGCGUCCACGCAAAGGGCGCCCCCCGUUUUAAGCAGGGAGCGGUCAUUACCUUAGUGACACUUUGGUUGCACAAACCAUAGGUUGCCCAGACACCAGAAUCUGGAAGCACAGAGUGUGAACGCCUCCAGGUUCCUUCAGAACAGUGGUACUUAUCAAUUUGGCUCUUAAGACAGGGGUAGCCAAUGUGGUACCCUGCAGAUGCUUUUGGAUUUCAGUUCCCUUCAGCCUCAGCUAGCACAGCCAGUGGUCAGGGUACAAUAACAUCUGCAGGGUUCCACAUUGGCGACGCCAUCAUAAGGACUCUCUUUUAGCUUGCAUUUCUGCCUGAUCACUGAAGUCUUCAGGAGACUCGCUAUUGCUCAGACCUAUGGCUUGCAUCAAGCUGGAUGUUGUUUGCAUCCAUCUGUCGAGGGGGGGGGGAGAGCAUCUGGGUGGAGGCCCAGAUGACAAGACCCUUCCUGGCCUCACUGUUGUGGUCAAAAGGAAAGCAGAGCAAUACAUUUGGCACCAGCUGGCUGCAGAAGUUGCUGGAAGGUUCCACCCAACUGUUUUAGGAAAUCCAGAUUUUUGUAGGGUUUACUCCUUAGCCUUUUCUCUCCUGAAAGGUAUCUUGCAAGGCAUCUGCAACCAUGCAUUCGGCAUUGUAGGACUGAUUGUUUGGAUCUCCCUCCUGGCUGAUAUCAGAUAAGCCCCAUCUCUGCUGAAUUUCUGGUGCUUGGAUGAGACAUCUUUUUGUUUCAGCUGCCAUUUCAAAUACGUUUUUUUCUGAUUUCAUGGUUAAUUCUACCUGAUUUUAUUAUGCAUGCUGUACCCCUAUUAGACACUGCUUAGAAAUGAAGGUAAUUAUAUACCACAUUGCUCUGAAUAUAGGCCAUACUUUUCUCCCUUUUAUAAAACCAGAGUGCAGCCUAUACUCAGAUUCUUAUGGAUGGAGAAGCCGUCAUUUAAGAGAUCUCAUUUUAGGGGCACAGACUACAUUUGGGUUCAGCUGGUAUUCAGACCAAUAGAGUAAAUUAUUAAGAUAAAUGCUUUAGAAAAACAAUGUAGAUGAAUUUAUAAUAGUCACUCAUGUUUUCACCUGUAUGGAAGAUAAAUCAUCCCCAAGUGGCC